Carlito syrichta (Philippine tarsier) is the source of this 786-nucleotide RNA transcript. It is a transcript of the gene named 40S ribosomal protein S6 pseudogene, with no coding region annotated. The record is from RefSeq and is a predicted model, not a curated record. The transcript has 2 exons. Lineage: Eukaryota; Metazoa; Chordata; Mammalia; Primates; Tarsiidae.
CUGGGAGACGAUCAGCUGCUUCAAGAUGAAACUGAGUAUCUCCUUCCCUGUCACUGGUUGCCAGAAACUCAUUGAAGUAGAUAAUGAACGCAAGCUUUGUACCUUCUGUGAGAAGCACAUGGCCACAGAAGUUGCUGCUGACACUCUGGGUGAAGAAUGGAAGGGUUACAUGGUCCAAAUCCGCGGCGGGAAUGUUAAACAAGAUUUCCCCCAUGAAGCAGGGUAUCAUGUCCACCAGUUGCUGAGUAAGGGACAUUCCUGUUACAGACCAAGAACUGAAAAAAGAAAGUGCAACCUGUUCAGGGUUGCAUUGUGGAUGCCAAUCUGAGCAUUCUUAACUUGAUUAUUGUAAAAAAAAGGAGAGAAGAAUAUUCCUGGGCAGACUGAUACUAUGGUGCCUCAUCACCUGGGGCCCAAAAAGCCUAACAGAGCCGGCAAACUCUUCAGUUUCUCUAAAGAAAAUGAUGUCCACCAAUACGGUGUAAGAAAGCUCUUAAGCAGCCGGAAAGAAGCAAAGAAACGUAGGACCAAAGCACCCAAGAUUCACCAUCUCGUUCCCUCACCACUUGUCCUGCAACACAGACACCAGUGUAUUGCUCCAAAGAAGCAGUGUACUAAGAAAAAUAAGGAAAAGACGCAGAAUAUGCUAAACUUUUGACCAAGAGAAUAAAAGAGACCAAAGAAAAACACCAGGAACAGAUGGCCAAGAGAUGCAGACUGUCCUCUCUGUGAGCUUCUACUUCCAAGUCUGAGUCUAGUAAAAAAUAUAUAUGUUUUUUUGAGUAA